GACGAACGCUGGCGGCGUGCUUAACACAUGCAAGUCGAACGGAAAGGUCCUGCUUUUGUGGGUUUCUCGAUUGGCGAACGGGGGAGUGACACACGAGUAACCCGCCCUUGUCUUUGUGAUAACUUCAGGAAACUGCGGCUAAUAUCGGGUAGGAGCUCCUGCUGCACGGGGUGGGUUGGAAAGUUUCGGCGGUUGUGGAUGGACUCGCGGCUUAUCAGCUUGUUGGUGGGGUAGGGGCUUACCAAGGCUUUGACGGGUAGCCGGCGUGGGAGGGUGACCGGCCACCUUGGGACUGAGAGACGCACCAGACUCCUACGGGAGGCAGCAGUGGGGAAUAUUGCACAAUGGGCGGAAGCGUGAUGCAGCAACGCCGCGUGCGGGAUGACGGCCUUCGGGUUGUAAACCGCUUUCGCAUGUGACGAAGCGUGAGUGACGGUAAUGGGUAAAGAAGCACCGGCUAACUACGUG
RNAcentral lists this ribosomal RNA (468 nucleotides) under uncultured bacterium. RNAcentral describes it as "partial 16S ribosomal RNA". It matches the Rfam family "Bacterial small subunit ribosomal RNA", at positions 28 to 507 of the family's 1533-position model. The record is from RNAcentral.